GCUGCCACGGACUCAUCGCCCGACUUUUAGUCAGUCAUUCAGAGUGCGACGGGAUGGGAUGACAGACCCCUUCAGUGCCGCCCCCGGAUCCAACUUGCAGCUCCCAACGUCCCACACACAGAUACUCACUCACACACACACACUCACACGCACACGCACACGCAUACUGGCGAACGUAUAACUUGACCUACAUUCGUGCAAGACAAUAACAACGAAAAAAAGCAACAAAACACACACAUACAAAACAAAAUAACAAAAUUUACACACAGCGCUCUGAGAAAAGAAAAAGAAAAGGUAAGAAAUUUCCAACGGUACAUGAGCUGCUGGCCGGGUCUGAAUCAAUGUUUAUAUAUGAAUCGGCAGGGCUUCGGAUUCGGAUUCGGAAUCGAAUUCGCUUUUCGAUUCGCAGGCCUCACUGGUCUUUGUUUCUGCCCAAAAGUUAUUAUCGUAAAAUUGAUUUCAUUGAAGUUGCUGUCUUCGUCAUCGGAUCGGAUCGGAUCGGAUCGGCUUGGUUUGCUCGAAGCUUUUGCACAUAUAUAUGUAUCUGUAUCUUGUAGUAUGUAUGCUAUACAUCGCUUUCUGGUACACUCCGCCUAUGUAUUUUGAUAAUUAGGCGAAAGAAAUCGAGUCAGCAGACUGCAGCCCGUGGAUCGGCGGUUCCGCAUUGGAAAACGCUAGAAGACACCACAAAUAGAAAGCGACAGUGGAUGUCAAGUCAAUCUGGGACGUAAACAGCUCUCUGGUCUUCAUUAAAGGGAAAACUAUUAUAUUCUCUUAUUAAGCUACCCUUAGUGGUAUCCAAAAAUUGGCAUGAAAUGACUACAUAAGUUGGCUCGAAAAGCUGAGCUUUGCUGUAAAUUCUAGUUAAAUUAAAUCUAAGACUCUAAGUCAUCAAAGUUGUUUGUGGUUGUAUAUAACACAAUUAACAGCUUCAUAAAGUAGUUAAUGUUUAUUAUAAUUAUAAUAAAGACAUUUCAAUUGAA
This is a long non-coding RNA of Drosophila erecta, 983 nucleotides long. RefSeq lists it as uncharacterized. NCBI's taxonomy places the organism in Eukaryota, Metazoa, Arthropoda, Insecta, Diptera, Drosophilidae. The record is from RefSeq and is a predicted model, not a curated record. The transcript is spliced from 2 exons.